RNAcentral lists this ribosomal RNA (606 nucleotides) under uncultured Actinomycetes bacterium. RNAcentral's name for it is "bacterial SSU rRNA". It matches the Rfam family "Bacterial small subunit ribosomal RNA", at positions 234 to 852 of the family's 1533-position model. The record is from RNAcentral. Lineage: Bacteria; Bacillati; Actinomycetota; Actinomycetes.
CGCCUGGGGAGUACGGGUGAGGUAACGGCUCACCAAGGCGACGACGGGUAGCCGGCCUGAGAGGGUGACCGGCCACACUGGGACUGAGACACGGCCCAGACUCCUACGGGAGGCAGCAGUGGGGAAUAUUGCACAAUGGGCGCAAGCCUGAUGCAGCAACGCCGCGUGAGGGAUGACGGCCUUCGGGUUGUAAACCUCUUUUAGCAGGGAAGAAGCGAAAGUGACGGUACCUGCAGAAAAAGCACCGGCUAACUACGUGCCAGCAGCCGCGGUAAUACGUAGGGUGCAAGCGUUGUCCGGAAUUAUUGGGCGUAAAGAGCUCGUAGGCGGUUUGUCACGUCUGCUGUGAAAAUCCAAGGCUCAACCUUGGACUUGCAGUGGGUACGGGCAGGCUAGAGUGCGGUAGGGGAGAUGGGAAUUCCUGGUGUAGCGGUGGAAUGCGCAGAUAUCAGGAGGAACACCAAUGGCGAAGGCACAUCUCUGGGCCGUAACUGACGCUGAGGAGCGAAAGCGUGGGGAGCGAACAGGAUUAGAUACCCUGGUAGUCCACGCCGUAAACGGUGGGUGCUAGCUGUGGGCCACAUUCCACGUGGUCCGUGACGAAGU